GCCAACACUGGGAGUCUAUUUAGAGAAAAAUCUGAAAAGAUUCAGAUACUGGCUUUCUUUCCCCAGUGACCAAGAGAGUCUGACAGCACCAUUCUGGCUGAGGGUAGAACCAAGACAAACGGCAACAUUGCCAUGGUCAGAGAGUCAGGGCUCAGCAAGAUGACCAGAUCCAGGGUUGAGGAAUCUCCAAGGAAGCUUGUUAUCAAUGUGAAACCAAACUCAUGAGCACCCAGCUGCACAUAUCCAGGUUCUUUCUGCCUUGAAAAAUAUGACUGUACUCAGGUGAUUCUGGGUCCAUCCACGUGGUCAGGUCUUCUUCCCCAGCUGUCCCCAUUCUUAGGAAAGGAGCCCUGGGACUGAGCACCAGGAGGAGAGAAAGACAAAGCAACCCAUUAAGGUCCCCCCUGUUCCUACCUGAAGGGUAGGCCCAGCGUAGGCCUUGUAGCAGUGAAAUCAGAAAUACUGUCUGAGGGCUGGGGUAUAGCUCAGUUGGCAGAGUGCUUGCUUCACAUGCACAAGGCCCUGGGUUCGAUCCCCAGCACCACAAACAAAAAAAAAAAAAAAGAAAAAAGAAAGAAAUGUUGUCUGAUGCCAUGGACUGCAUGUGGACUGCAUGUGGGCUGAGGGGAUGUGGCCUGCCUGCCUGCCUGCCUUCCUGGGAGCUAGGAAGAAUGACAUGGAGCCUUGGUCUAGAGUGGGAGGCUGACGAGAACCCAGCAGUGGCAACCCUGAGGCAGGCGCUGUGUUGCCAGGUCCUGGGGAGCCUGCAGAAGGACUGCCUGGGAUUCCCUACUUUGCUCAUUUGACCACCUCAGUGACCCAAUUCAGCAGAUGCCCCUUGGACGUCUUCACUGUGCACGACUCAGUGCUCAGCUUAAGGACAUCCACGGGUGAAUAUAUGACAGCGUUCCACUCAAGAAGGUCAUGAUCUGGUAGGAAGGAGCCCUGGCCCUGGCAGCCAGAUGGUGUGACGAAAGCAGGAGCUAAGCAGAGAUUGCUUUUGCCUGCUGCAAAUGGAUCAGUUACUUCUGCCAGACACAUUUUCAAACUGAGGUAAUUCUGAGACUGAGCUGCAGGAAGGGAAACUUCAUUCCUUAACUCACUGACUCAUCAGCUGCCUCCAGCGUCCAGGUAGGUAAGGACGGCAUCCUGGCCCUCCCUUCACCCUGUUGGGAUUUGGAGCUUUGUCCGCAGGCAGCUCAUGUAGUCAGGGAAGUUGAGGAGCCAGCCUGACAGGCCUGGCACUGAUCUCAUCUGUAGCGUCCUCAGUCUGGCAUACAAGAGGGCAGGGGCCUGGAAGGUAUUUGAGGGGGCUUCCCAAACAAGUUUAAGUGAGA
Molecule: long non-coding RNA, 1337 nt
Filed under: Marmota monax (woodchuck)
Lineage: Eukaryota; Metazoa; Chordata; Mammalia; Rodentia; Sciuridae
Rfam family: tRNA (bases 475-547)
Source: RNAcentral